UACGAAGGGGGCGAGCGUUGUUCGGAUUUACUGGGCGUAAAGGGCGCGUAGGCGGCGGGUUAAGUCGAGUGUGAAAGCCCCGGGCUCAACCUGGGAAUUGCGCUCGAGACUGGUCUGCUUGAGUUCGGGAGAGGAGCGUGGAAUUCCCAGUGUAGAGGUGAAAUUCGUAGAUAUUGGGAAGAACACCGGUGGCGAAGGCGGCGCUCUGGACCGAGACUGACGCUGAGGCGCGAAAGCGUGGGGAGCAAACAGG
RNAcentral lists this ribosomal RNA (253 nucleotides) under uncultured bacterium. RNAcentral's name for it is "partial 16S ribosomal RNA". It matches the Rfam family "Bacterial small subunit ribosomal RNA", at positions 524 to 776 of the family's 1533-position model. The record is from RNAcentral.